AGUGAACGCUGGCGGUAGGCCUAACACAUGCAAGUCGAACGGCAGCACAGUAAGAGCUUGCUCUUACGGGUGGCGAGUGGCGGACGGGUGAGGAAUACAUCGGAAUCUACUUUUUCGUGGGGGAUAACGUAGGGAAACUUACGCUAAUACCGCAUACGACCUACGGGUGAAAGCAGGGGAUCUUCGGACCUUGCGCGAUUGAAUGAGCCGAUGUCGGAUUAGCUAGUUGGCGGGGUAAAGGCCCACCAAGGCGACGAUCCGUAGCUGGUCUGAGAGGAUGAUCAGCCACACUGGAACUGAGACACGGUCCAGACUCCUACGGGAGGCAGCAGUGGGGAAUAUUGGCCAAUGGGCGCAAGCCUGAUCCAGCCAUACCGCGUGGGUGAAGAAGGCCUUCGGGUUGUAAAGCCCCUUUGUUGGGAAAGAAAAGCAGCAGGUUAAUACCCCGCUGUUCUGACGGUACCCAAAGAAUAAGCACCGGCUAACUUCGUG
Molecule: ribosomal RNA, 492 nt
Filed under: uncultured bacterium
Lineage: Bacteria
Description: partial 16S ribosomal RNA
Rfam family: Bacterial small subunit ribosomal RNA
Source: RNAcentral